This 547-nucleotide ribosomal RNA is filed under the name uncultured bacterium. RNAcentral describes it as "partial 16S ribosomal RNA". It matches the Rfam family "Bacterial small subunit ribosomal RNA", at positions 355 to 895 of the family's 1533-position model. The record is from RNAcentral.
UGGGGAAUUUUGGACAAUGGGCGAAAGCCUGAUCCAGCAAUGCCGCGUGUGUGAAGAAGGCCUUCGGGUUGUAAAGCACUUUUGUCCGGAAAGAAAUCCUUGGCUCUAGUACAGUCGGGGGAUGACGGUACCGGAAGAAUAAGCACCGGCUAACUACGUGCCAGCAGCCGCGGUAAUACGUAGGGUGCAAGCGUUAAUCGGAAUUACUGGGCGUAAAGCGUGCGCAGGCGGUUUGCUAAGACCGAUGUGAAAUCCCCGGGCUCAACCUGGGAACUGCAUUGGUGACUGGCAGGCUAGAGUAUGGCAGAGGGGGGUAGAAUUCCACGUGUAGCAGUGAAAUGCGUAGAGAUGUGGAGGAAUACCGAUGGCGAAGGCAGCCCCCUGGGCCAAUACUGACGCUCAUGCACGAAAGCGUGGGGAGCAAACAGGAUUAGAUACCCUGGUAGUCCACGCCCUAAACGAUGUCAACUAGUUGUUGGGGAUUCAUUUCCUUAGUAACGUAGCUAACGCGUGAAGUUGACCGCCUGGGGAGUACGGUCGCAAGAUU